GCCGGUUUGGCUCAGUGGGUAGAGUGUUGGUCUGUGGACCCAAGGGUACUGGGUUUGAUUCUGGUCAAGGGCA
This 73-nucleotide transfer RNA is filed under the name Myotis brandtii (Brandt's bat). It matches the Rfam family "tRNA". Rfam says of the family: Transfer RNA (tRNA) molecules are approximately 80 nucleotides in length. Their secondary structure includes four short double-helical elements and three loops (D, anti-codon, and T loops). Further hydrogen bonds mediate the characteristic L-shaped molecular structure. tRNAs have two regions of fundamental functional importance: the anti-codon, which is responsible for specific mRNA codon recognition, and the 3' end, to which the tRNAs corresponding amino acid is attached (by aminoacyl-tRNA synthetases). tRNAs cope with the degeneracy of the genetic code in two manners: having more than one tRNA (with a specific anti-codon) for a particular amino acid; and 'wobble' base-pairing, i.e. permitting non-standard base-pairing at the 3rd anti-codon position. Lineage: Eukaryota; Metazoa; Chordata; Mammalia; Chiroptera; Vespertilionidae. The record is from Rfam by way of RNAcentral.